GCCGGGGUGCUGGAAUUGGUAGACAGCGCAGACUUAAAAUCUGCUGGGGAUUUAUCCCCGUGUGGGUUCGAGUCCCACCCCCGGCA
This 86-nucleotide transfer RNA is filed under the name bacterium. Its description in RNAcentral is "tRNA-Leu". It matches the Rfam family "tRNA". From Rfam's summary of the family: Transfer RNA (tRNA) molecules are approximately 80 nucleotides in length. RNAcentral also lists the same sequence under 1 other name. The record is from RNAcentral.